AGUCAUAUGCUUAUCUCAAAGAUUAAGCCAUGCAUGUGUAAGAAUAAACCGAAUAUGGUAAAUCCGCGAAUGGCUCAUUAUUCAGCCUCAAUUUAUUGGAUCUAACAAGUUACUUGGAUAACUGUUCAAAAUGAAGAGCUAAGACAUGCCUCGAAAGCAUAGCGCAAGCUAUGCUGCACUUCUUAGAAAAGACCAAUUGGCUUCGGCCAUCCAUUGGUGAAUCUUCUGAAAUUCGCAGAUCGCACGGUCUAGUACCGGCGACAUAUCCUUCAAAUGUCUGCCUUAUCAACUGUCGAUGGUAGUUUAUUGGACUACCAUGGUUGUAACGGGUAACGGAGAAUUAGGGUUCGACUCCGGAGAGGGAGCCUGAGAUACGGCUACCACAUCCAAGGAAGGCAGCAGGCGCGCAAAUUACCCACUCUCAGUGCGAGGAGGUAGUGACGAAAAAUAACGAGACAGUCUUCUAUGAGGUCUGUCAUCGGAAUGGGUACAAUUUAAACCCUUUAACGAGGAUCUAUUGGAGGGCAAGUCUGGUGCCAGCAGCCGCGGUAAUUCCAGCUCCAAAAGUGUAUAUUAAAAUUGUUGCGGUUAAAAAGCUCGUAGUUGGAUCUUCGACCAUCAAGAGCGGUAGCCCAUUGGGUUUCACUGCUUCUUGUGGUCUCCUUACUGGUUUUUCCUUGGUGCUCUUAACUGAGUGCCUUGGUUGGCUAGUGCUUUUACUUUGAAAAAUUAGAGUGCUCAAGCAGCGUUGCCUGAUAGUGUGCAUGAUAUGGAAUAGGACUCGGUUCUAUUUUGUGUUUCGAGCUCGAGUAUGAUAGA
This 819-nucleotide ribosomal RNA is filed under the name uncultured eukaryote. Its description in RNAcentral is "bacterial SSU rRNA". It matches the Rfam family "Eukaryotic small subunit ribosomal RNA", at positions 21 to 872 of the family's 1831-position model. The record is from RNAcentral.